RNAcentral lists this ribosomal RNA (501 nucleotides) under uncultured bacterium. RNAcentral's name for it is "partial 16S ribosomal RNA". It matches the Rfam family "Bacterial small subunit ribosomal RNA", at positions 899 to 1397 of the family's 1533-position model. The record is from RNAcentral.
ACUCAAAGGAAUUGACGGGGGCCCGCACAAGCGGUGGAGCAUGUUGUUUAAUACGUCACUAACCGUAGAACCUUACCAGGUCUUGACAUCUGUGGAACCUCCCAGAAACGGGAGGGUGCCCUUCGGGGAGCCACAAGACAGGUGUUGCAUGGCUGUCGUCAGCUCGUGUCGUGAGAUGUUGGGUUAAGUCCCGCAACGAGCGCAACCCUCAUCCAGUGUUGCUACCAGGUUAAGCUGGGCACUCUCUGGAAACUGCCCGUGCAAGCGGGAGGAAGGUGGGGAUGACGUCAAGUCAGCAUGGCCCUUACGACCUGGGCUACAAACAUGCUACAAUGGCGCGUACAGAGGGCUGCAAAACCGCGAGGUUGAGCCAAUCCCAAAAAGCGCGUCUCAGUUCGGAUCGGAGUCUGCAACUCGACUCCGUGAAGUCGGAAUCGCUAGUAACCGCAGGUCAGCUAUACUGCGGUGAAUACGUUCCCGGGCCUUGUACACACCGCCCGU